RNAcentral lists this unclassified non-coding RNA (275 nucleotides) under Melitaea cinxia (Glanville fritillary). RNAcentral's name for it is "misc RNA ENSMCXG00005009581.1". Lineage: Eukaryota; Metazoa; Arthropoda; Insecta; Lepidoptera; Nymphalidae. The record is from RNAcentral.
UGGUCGUUAGCCGCCUGGUGUGGAGCUCGAGGUGUGUGGGCGGCAAGGGUUGCAGCUGGUGCAGGUGGAGCGGGUGCAUUAGCCUUAGCUCCACUAUAUUGUGCAGAAAUAGCACCGAGGACUAGAGGUCUUGCUGCCAUGCCAGCAUUAGCUUGCAGUUGCGGCAUCCUCUUUGCCUACUCAGCUGGUGGGAUGUUAUCUGCGCAUGCACUGUCUCUAUCAAUGGCUGUACCUCCAGCUAUUCUACUGUUAUCAUUGAUUUGGCUUCCAGAAAC